Molecule: ribosomal RNA, 372 nt
Filed under: uncultured Anoxybacillus sp.
Lineage: Bacteria; Bacillati; Bacillota; Bacilli; Caryophanales; Anoxybacillaceae
Description: bacterial SSU rRNA
Rfam family: Bacterial small subunit ribosomal RNA
Source: RNAcentral
UUCCCCCUUCGGGGGGACAGGGUGACAGGUGGUGCAUGGUUGUCGUCAGCUCGUGUCGUGAGAUGUUGGGUUAAGUCCCGCAACGAGCGCAACCCUCGACCUUAGUUGCCAGCAUUCAGUUGGGCACUCUAAGGUGACUGCCGGCUAAAAGUCGGAGGAAGGUGGGGAUGACGUCAAAUCAUCAUGCCCCUUAUGACCUGGGCUACACACGUGCUACAAUGGGCGGUACAAAGGGUCGCGAACCCGCGAGGGGGAGCCAAUCCCAAAAAGCCGCUCUCAGUUCGGAUUGCAGGCUGCAACUCGCCUGCAUGAAGCCGGAAUCGCUAGUAAUCGCGGAUCAGCAUGCCGCGGUCGAAUACGUUCCCGGGCCUU